Molecule: ribosomal RNA, 468 nt
Filed under: uncultured bacterium
Lineage: Bacteria
Description: partial 16S ribosomal RNA
Rfam family: Bacterial small subunit ribosomal RNA
Source: RNAcentral
GACGAACGCUGGCGGCGUGCUUAACACAUGCAAGUCGAACGGAAAGGCCCUGCUUUUGUGGGGUGCUCGAGUGGCGAACGGGUGAGUAACAAGUGAGUAACCUGCCCUUGACUUUGGGAUAACUUCAGGAAACUGGGGCUAAUACCGGAUAGGAGCUCCUGCUGCAUGGUGGGGGUUGGAAAGUUUCGGCGGUUGGGGAUGGACUCGCGGCUUAUCAGCUUGUUGGUGGGGUAGUGGCUUACCAAGGCUUUGACGGGUAGCCGGCCUGAGAGGGUGACCGGCCACAUUGGGACUGAGAUACGGCCCAGACUCCUACGGGAGGCAGCAGUGGGGAAUAUUGCACAAUGGGCGGAAGCCUGAUGCAGCAACGCCGCGUGCGGGAUGACGGCCUUCGGGUUGUAAACCGCUUUCGCCUGUGACGAGGCGUGAGUGACGGUAAUGGGUAAAGAAGCACCGGCUAACUACGUG